AGGGGCUUUUAAAUUGCCCCGGACAGCGGAGAAGUCCUCCGCUGUCCCGGGGCAAUUUUAAAAUGCCGCCCGCCAGCAUUUUAAGAUCGCCCCGGACAGCGGAGAAGCCCUCCGCUGUCCCGGGGUUUUUUAAAAUGCUGGGGGUGGGAAGAAAAGCCCUUGUCCCCCCCCCCCAGCCUUCAGAAGAGGUCGGGGGACAGACUGUCCCCGGACCUGGUCUGAAGUCGGUUUCCCUAGGAACGCAUGAAUUGAUUUUCAAUGCAUUCCUAUGGGAAACCGUGCAUCGCAAGACGAAAAACUCGCAAGAAGAAAAAACUUGCGGAACGAAUUAAUUUCGUCUUGCGAGGCACCACUGUACU
Podarcis lilfordi (Lilford's wall lizard) is the source of this 359-nucleotide non-coding RNA. The record is from the annotation of a GenBank genome assembly. Lineage: Eukaryota; Metazoa; Chordata; Lepidosauria; Squamata; Lacertidae.